CGUAGGGUGCAAGCGUUGUCCGGAAUUAUUGGGCGUAAAGAGCUCGUAGGCGGUCUGUUGCGUCGGCAGUGAAAACCCGGGGCUCAACCCCGGGCCUGCAGCCGAUACGGGCAGACUAGAGUUCGGCAGGGGAGACUGGAAUUCCUGGUGUAGCGGUGAAAUGCGCAGAUAUCGGGAGGAACACCGGUGGCGGAGGCGGUUCUCUGGGCCUUACCUGACGCUGAGGAGCGAAAGCGUGGGGAGCGAACAGG
Molecule: ribosomal RNA, 251 nt
Filed under: uncultured bacterium
Lineage: Bacteria
Description: partial 16S ribosomal RNA
Rfam family: Bacterial small subunit ribosomal RNA
Source: RNAcentral